Molecule: ribosomal RNA, 730 nt
Filed under: Paenibacillus odorifer
Lineage: Bacteria; Bacillati; Bacillota; Bacilli; Caryophanales; Paenibacillaceae
Description: bacterial LSU rRNA
Rfam family: Bacterial large subunit ribosomal RNA
Source: RNAcentral
AGGUUAAGCUAAUAAGAGCACACGGAGGAUGCCUAGGCGCCAGGAGCCGACGAAGGACGUGGCGAACAACGAAACUGCCUCGGGGAGCUGUAAGCAAGCUUUGAUCCGGGGGUGUCCGAAUGGGGAAACCCAGCUGUGGUAAUUCGCAGUUACUCAUACCUGAAUACAUAGGGUGUGUAGAGGCAGACCAGGGGAACUGAAACAUCUAAGUACCCUGAGGAAGAGAAAACAAUAGUGAUUCCGUCAGUAGCGGCGAGCGAACGCGGAACAGCCUAAACCUAAGAGCUUGCUCUUAGGGGUUGUGGGACGUCUCACAUGGAGUUACAAAGGAAUAUGGUAGGUGAAGAGGUCUGGAAAGGCCCGCGAUAGAGGUAAAAGCCCUGUAACCUAAACUGUGUUCUCUCCGAGACGGAUCCCGAGUAGUGCGGGGCACGUGAAACCCCGUAUGAAUCCAGCAGGACCAUCUGCUAAGGCUAAAUACUACCUGGCGACCGAUAGUGAAACAGUACCGUGAGGGAAAGGUGAAAAGCACCCCGGAAGGGGAGUGAAAUAGAACCUGAAACCGUGUGCUUACAAAAAGUCAGAGCCCGAUCUAUGGGUGAUGGCGUGCCUUUUGUAGAAUGAACCGGCGAGUUACGUUUAACAUGCAAGGUUAAGCCGAGAAGGUGGAGCCGCAGCGAAAGCGAGUCUGAAUAGGGCGACUUAGUAUGUGGACGUAGACCCGAAACCG